CCAAUAUUAUGAAGCUGCAGACUCGGAGCCUGCAGCUACAGACCCCCGCCCAGAGAGCCGCAUUCUCAGACCCCUCGUUUUUCGAGACGGCGAUCAAAUUGGAUCGGAUAAACAUUUGAAGAAACAUGGAUAUAACAAUUCAAACGGGGGACUCACUUCCAGAAAUUCCAAAAUGUCACAAAUGCUGCAGUGAUUUUGACUACCAUCAAAGUGGUUCCCCCUAAAGCCAUGUGUGCCUGUCUACAUGGACAGCCAUUAUUCAUGGCCUAUGUGAAAUGCAGGCAUUAUCCUGGCAGGAAGCUGAGCAGGUGUUCCUCAGUGGCCCUUCUUAUCACUCUAGGUAUGCUUGUAAUUUGUAUUUGCAAAAAAUAGUAUUUUUAUUACACAACAUUUUUGACAAUGGCCUUCAUGUUUUAUUUUUUAAGUCGAGGAAUUUGACAGAGCAGUUUCCAAAAG
Molecule: long non-coding RNA, 456 nt
Organism: Paramisgurnus dabryanus
Lineage: Eukaryota; Metazoa; Chordata; Actinopteri; Cypriniformes; Cobitidae
Source: RefSeq, a predicted model, not a curated record